UACGAAGGGGGCUAGCGUUGUUCGGAAUUACUGGGCGUAAAGCGCGCGCAGGCGGCUAUCCAAGUCAGUGGUGAAAGCCCGGAGCUCAACUCCGGAACUGCCAUUGAAACUGUUUAGCUGGAGUAUGAGAGAGGUGAGUGGAAUUCCCAGUGUAGAGGUGAAAUUCGUAGAUAUUGGGAAGAACACCGGUGGCGAAGGCGGCUCACUGGCUCAUUACUGACGCUCAGGCGCGACAGCGUGGGGAUCAAACAGG
This 253-nucleotide ribosomal RNA is filed under the name uncultured bacterium. RNAcentral describes it as "partial 16S ribosomal RNA". It matches the Rfam family "Bacterial small subunit ribosomal RNA", at positions 524 to 776 of the family's 1533-position model. The record is from RNAcentral.